AUAGCCUCGGACAUAAAUUCUCUCUGACUUAAGUAUCGGAGGGACGACAAUGACACCACUUGACGCAUUUGUUUUAGUUAUUAAAAGAUCUUGUUCACGCUCAGUUUCAAUCAUCGAGUUCGAAAAUCAACAGGUAUGAUUUUUGAUAGUAUCAAUAAGGAUUGGAUGGGAAUAUACACACACACACACGAACUGAUCCAUGUUUUAAAGUGAAACGGACACUUUUCUCUUAUUUUAGAACUUGGGCUAAAUUAAAAGAUAACAAAGAGCAGCAAUAAAAUUCAAACUUCCGCUUGCAAGCACAAGAAUUUAUCUUCUUUUAUUUCUCUUAAUUUAAGAAAGUCGAUGAUAUUUUUAGUCCCUACCAUUUUAUUUUAUUUUUAAUUCAAACACAAGUUACUUUUCAUUGCUAGGACAACGGAAUGUAAUCUAUGCUUUUUACUCUUUAAUUUAAUUAUCGAUGUUUUGCAUUAAAGUAUGAAUUCAUGUUCAAUUUUUUUUAUUGUUAUUAAUGUUGAGAUCGAGGGUUAAAUAUAUGUUAAUGCUCGUGGUAAUUAAUGUCAUAAAUUUGCAGGGAUGGAUCCAAGUUUGAAUUCAAGACCAGACUAAAAAAUUUCAAAUUGGGCUAAUAUGCAGAAAAAAAUAUCUCAUUAAAAAUCUGUUUUUACAAAAAAAUAAAGAAAAUUACCCUAAAAAAAAUUUAAUUGGACCCGGUGGGGGGGGGGGGGGGCCUAAAUCCGUAAAUUUGUGUACGAGAUAGAAAUAUAUUUCUAUGGUCUGUGUCGAAUUAAAUGAACUUUUGUUGAUUUUAAUGGUAACUAAGUAUGCUUAUUUCUGAGCUUUUGUUAGUUAUUUUAGUCUAGUUUUUAUUAAUUUUGUGUUGCUUUCUUGAUUUAGGGUGAUUACAGAGUUCGGAUAGCGUUGUUGAUAAAAGUGAUAAAAAGAGUGUUUUGAACUCAAUGCAAUGGCAAGACCGAACAAGACAAACGACACCACAAAUGACUAAAAGAAAGAGAAUGAUAAAAAAAAAAAAAAUGGAAGUACUUGAUGAUGUGCCCUAGUUUGCUUACAAUGAUUACAGACUUUCUAAGGACAAUCACGAGCAAUAUGACAGAAUCCUUUGCAAUCAAAGCACUGGAGUUCACCCUUUCCUUAUUCUUGGGCAGCAUAUGCCACGAUUACCUCAUUAGAGGAGGAUAUAUUAGCUUCCAUAGUAGUUUGGGUAGUUAGUCGUUGCUUCUCACGUAAAAGUUCACUAAAGCACACAUCCAAAAAAGGAAUUGGAUCGUGUGAUUCAAUAAACUCGCUUGAGCAACUUCAAAUUCAGUUCGUAAUUUCAUAAGAAACUGAUCCCACUUAUCAAUCUCUUGUAGAGCCGCCGCAAGGACGUUAGCAUAAAUUAUGCAAGAGUAUUCACUUCACAAUUUCAAGAAACCAGAAUAAUAUUGCUCAAUAGUUAGAUUACCUUGAGUGUAAUUGGCAAUCUUUAGCUCCAACUGAAGUAUCCGUGAUAGAUAUGAAUUAUUUUCAUAUCUUCUUAGCCAUGGUGAAAGAGAGUAAUUUAUUCAUCAUAUGCACCUCCAUAGAUCCCAAAAGUCAGAAAAUAUUACAUUUCGUCAAUUUAUCAUCGAUGUCGUUCUACUUUUAUUUGUUUCUUUCUUUCCAUUAACAUGAUAGGCUAAAUUAAUUUUGUAUUAGGAUUACGAUGAAACUUAUAUCAUGACCCCUUUGAUUUUCGAACUUUAUUUACUUUUUAGCUCAAAG
Molecule: long non-coding RNA, 1764 nt
Filed under: Olea europaea subsp. europaea
Lineage: Eukaryota; Viridiplantae; Streptophyta; Magnoliopsida; Lamiales; Oleaceae
Source: RNAcentral